AACGAACGCUGGCGGCAUGCCUAACACAUGCAAGUCGAACGAGACCUUCGUGACUGGUUGCGCACGCGUGCGUCACGCGUGGGACCCUUCCCUUAGGUUCGGAAUUCCUCCCUGUAAGGGGUGCUAAUACCGGAUAAUGUCUUCUGACCCCAGAUUCAUCGCCUUUGGAUGGGCCCGCGUUGGAUUAGCGUGUUGGUAGGGUAAAAGCCUACCAAGGCGACGCUCCAUAGCUGGUCUGAGAGGAUGAUCAGCCACACUGGGAAUGGGACACGGCCCAGACUCCUGAGGAAGGCAGCAGGGGGGAAUAUGGGACAAUGGGCGAAAGACGGAUCCAGCAGGGACGCGAGAGUGAUGAAGUCGGUAGGGUUGUAAAGCUCUUUUACCCGGGAUGAUAAGGACAGAACCGAGGGAAAAAGCUCCGGCUAACUCCGU
Molecule: ribosomal RNA, 432 nt
Filed under: uncultured bacterium
Lineage: Bacteria
Description: partial 16S ribosomal RNA
Rfam family: Bacterial small subunit ribosomal RNA
Source: RNAcentral